UAGGUGCUGACGAGUGGCGGACGGGUGAGUAACGCGUAGGAAUCUACCUUGUAGUGGGGGAUAACUUGGGGAAACCCAAGCUAAUACCGCAUGAGCCCUAAGGGGGAAAGCAGGGGACUGUAACAGGCCCUGUGCUAUGAGAUGAGCCUGCGUCGGAUUAGCUAGUUGGUGGGGUAAAGGCCUACCAAGGCGACGAUCCGUAGCUGGUCUGAGAGGACGACCAGCCACACUGGGACUGAGACACGGCCCAGACUCCUACGGGAGGCAGCAGUGGGGAAUAUUGGACAAUGGGCGCAAGCCUGAUCCAGCAAUGCCGCGUGUGUGAAGAAGGCCUGCGGGUUGUAAAGCACUUUCGGUGGGGAGGAAGGCUUCAGUGCUAAUAGUACUGAGGAUUGACGUUACCCACAGAAGAAGCACC
This 418-nucleotide ribosomal RNA is filed under the name uncultured soil bacterium. RNAcentral describes it as "bacterial SSU rRNA". It matches the Rfam family "Bacterial small subunit ribosomal RNA", at positions 81 to 494 of the family's 1533-position model. The record is from RNAcentral.